GGGUUGUGAGGUUAAGUGACUAAGCGUACACGGUGGAUGCCUAGGCAGUCAGAGGCGAUGAAGGGCGUGCUAAUCUGCGAAAAGCGUCGGUAAGGUGAUAUGAACCGUUACAACCGGCGAUACCCGAAUGGGGAAACCCAGUGUGUUUCGACACACUAUCAUGUCAUGAAUACAUAGUGGCAUGAGGCGAACCGGGGGAACUGAAACAUCUAAGUACCCCGAGGAAAAGAAAUCAACCGAGAUUCCCCCAGUAGCGGCGAGCGAACGGGGAGGAGCCCAGAACCUGAAUCGGCUUGUGUGUUAGUGGAAGCGUCUGGAAAGUCGCGCAGCAAAGGGUGAUAGCCCCGUACACUAAAAUGCACAGGUCGUGAGUUCGAUGAGUAGGGCGGGACACGUGACAUCCUGUCUGAAUAUGGGGGGACCAUCCUCCAAGGCUAAAUACUCCUGACUGACCGAUAGUGAACCAGUACCGUGAGGGAAAGGCGAAAAGAACCCCGGCGAGGGGAGUGAAAUAGAACCUGAAACCGUGUACGUACAAGCAGUGGGAGCACCUUCGUGGUGUGACUGCGUACCUUUUGUAUAAUGGGUCAGCGACUUAUAUUUUGUAGCAAGGUUAACCGUAUAGGGGAGCCGUAGGGAAACCGAGUCUUAACUGGGCGAAUAGUUGCAAGGUAUAGACCCGAAACCCGGUGAUCUAGCCAUGGGCAGGUUGAAGGUUGGGUAACACUAACUGGAGGA
RNAcentral lists this ribosomal RNA (738 nucleotides) under Serratia bockelmannii. RNAcentral describes it as "partial 23S ribosomal RNA". It matches the Rfam family "Bacterial large subunit ribosomal RNA", at positions 1 to 773 of the family's 2925-position model. The record is from RNAcentral. Lineage: Bacteria; Pseudomonadati; Pseudomonadota; Gammaproteobacteria; Enterobacterales; Yersiniaceae.